This 334-nucleotide long non-coding RNA is filed under the name Brassica napus (rape). RNAcentral describes it as "long non-coding RNA (BNAP_LNC001080)". Lineage: Eukaryota; Viridiplantae; Streptophyta; Magnoliopsida; Brassicales; Brassicaceae. The record is from RNAcentral.
ACGAGAUCCACGUGGACCAUCUCCACUAGCUUGUUGAUCGCGUUUCUCUUGUAAACCUCCGCCGCAUCAUCCGUCCGCUGCUGAUGCUGGUAAGACGGAGGAGGAGGCCUCGCGUAUCCAGAUCCGAUCGGAGGAGACGGCGAAGGUCGUGAGUAUCCAGAUCCGAUCGAGGGAGACGGCGAAGGCCUGGCGUAUCCAGAUCCGGAGGAUUGAGGGCGGCGCUGAGAGUACAACGGCGGGUCUGUGGAGAAGGCGGCGCUGAGCUGAGAGGCGAGAUCGAGGAGGUUGGAGCUAGGGUAAACCCAGGCGUGGAGAUAAGGGAGCGAGACGAGUC